RNAcentral lists this ribosomal RNA (253 nucleotides) under uncultured Gemmatimonas sp. RNAcentral describes it as "partial 16S ribosomal RNA". It matches the Rfam family "Bacterial small subunit ribosomal RNA", at positions 524 to 776 of the family's 1533-position model. Lineage: Bacteria; Pseudomonadati; Gemmatimonadota; Gemmatimonadia; Gemmatimonadales; Gemmatimonadaceae. The record is from RNAcentral.
UACGGAGGGUGCGAGCGUUGUCCGGAAUCACUGGGCGUAAAGGGCGCGUAGGUGGCUUGGUAAGCGUGUGGUGAAAGCUCGGGGCUCAACCCCGAGUCGGCCAUGCGAACUGCCGAGCUUGAGCACUGUAGAGGCAGACGGAAUUCCGGGUGUAGCGGUGGAAUGCGUAGAGAUCCGGAAGAACACCAGUGGCGAAGGCGGUCUGCUGGGCAGUUGCUGACACUGAGGCGCGACAGCGUGGGGAGCAAACAGG